CAGUAGCCGCGGGAAUACGUAGGUGGCAAGCGUUGUCCGGAAUUAUUGGGCGUAAAGGGCUCGCAGGCGGUUUCUUAUGUCUGAUGUGAAAGCCCCCGGCUCAACCGGGGAGGGUCAUUGGAAGCUGGGAAACUUGAGUGCAGAAGAGGAGAGUGGAAUUCCACGUGUAGCGGUGAAGUGCGUAGAGAUGUGGAGGAACACCAGUGGCGAAGGCGACUCUCUGGUCUGUAACUGACGCUGAGGAGCGAAAGCGUGGGGAGCGAACAGGAUUAGAGACCCGUGUAGUCCCUGUCUCUUAACC
RNAcentral lists this ribosomal RNA (301 nucleotides) under uncultured bacterium. Its description in RNAcentral is "partial 16S ribosomal RNA". It matches the Rfam family "Bacterial small subunit ribosomal RNA", at positions 509 to 808 of the family's 1533-position model. The record is from RNAcentral.